This 223-nucleotide long non-coding RNA is filed under the name Mytilus galloprovincialis (Mediterranean mussel). The record is from RNAcentral. Lineage: Eukaryota; Metazoa; Mollusca; Bivalvia; Mytilida; Mytilidae.
GGAAAUGAUAUGUACACACUCAAGAGUUGGGGCCUAAUGAAGGAGACCACAUUGCUUUGUACAUUUCUCUUAAAUUUCUACAGUCCAAAAUAUAAAAAUAAUAGAUAAAAAUUGGUGAAUAUUAUUUAUUUAUUAUUAUAUUUAUCAAAUAUUUAAGAUUUAGGUAAUUAAUAGUAUGAUUAGGGAAACAUUUCAAGGAAUCAAACAACUCCCAAAAUAACCC